GGGGUUGUGGCUCAGUGGUAGAGCUCUCUCCUUGCACGUGAGAGACCCUGGGUUCGAUCUUCAGCACCA
RNAcentral lists this transfer RNA (69 nucleotides) under Ictidomys tridecemlineatus (thirteen-lined ground squirrel). RNAcentral describes it as "Spermophilus tridecemlineatus (thirteen-lined ground squirrel) tRNA". It matches the Rfam family "tRNA". From Rfam's summary of the family: Transfer RNA (tRNA) molecules are approximately 80 nucleotides in length. Their secondary structure includes four short double-helical elements and three loops (D, anti-codon, and T loops). Further hydrogen bonds mediate the characteristic L-shaped molecular structure. tRNAs have two regions of fundamental functional importance: the anti-codon, which is responsible for specific mRNA codon recognition, and the 3' end, to which the tRNAs corresponding amino acid is attached (by aminoacyl-tRNA synthetases). tRNAs cope with the degeneracy of the genetic code in two manners: having more than one tRNA (with a specific anti-codon) for a particular amino acid; and 'wobble' base-pairing, i.e. permitting non-standard base-pairing at the 3rd anti-codon position. The record is from Rfam by way of RNAcentral. Lineage: Eukaryota; Metazoa; Chordata; Mammalia; Rodentia; Sciuridae.